GCAAUGUUGAACUUGGGAUCAUAUACAUCAAUGCCUGAAACUGCCCUAUAAAGCCCUGGCAUCGUGAACGAGACAUGGCUUUCGUAUUGCCCUGCCCGGUUCUUGCUGAAAGGUUGGAAGAUCAGUACUUUCUACUUGCUGCAUUCAUUGCUAUGAGAUCAGCACUGAAUUGGCAGGAGAAGUGAUAUUUUGAGUCCAAGUCCCUCCAGUUCACAUCUGAAUCUUCAUAUUUAGUCUUCUCUAAAGCAUGAGCAAUCGUUCCCUAGGAUCGAGGACACGUUCGUAUAUAGAUGUUAUUUUCUCAUAAAAACAACACAUUGCAAUAGAAGUUGGUUCAAAUGCUUACCUGAGUCACUCCAAGCUUGCUAGCAACUAAAGAAGCAACUAAGUUUCCAUCUGUGUAGUUUCCAAUUAUGAGGUCAGGCUUUCCUUCCAUUAGCUCAACAAUCUUUGCUGAUGCAUCCUAGUGGAGUGAAAAAGCACACAAAUUUGAUUAGGUCAUAGUAAGAAACUCGUUUCUGUGUAGCUCGUGUAGAGAGCGUGCUUGCCUGAGCAUAUCUCUCCAAGUAAGGAUAGAUGUCGAAUCUAGAGACCCACGGUCCAAGAACUCCUUUCUCGGUGAUGAAUGGAACCCUGAGGAUGUGGGAGUGCGUUGUGCCCUCGACAAGCUCCAUUUCUUGAUUGCAUUUGUUUCCUUUGGCAUCCGGGAUUAGACGAGUCACCACUAGAAUCUGGGGCUUCACAUUCAAACCUUGCUGCUUUAUUCUCAACAACAUUUCUUCUUCCAUAGCUCUCACUUGAUCAAGGAUGUAAACCACCUGUUCAACAUAUUUCUUGGUCAAAACAUGGCUCACCCUGAAAAGUACUGAUAAAAAAACAAACGACACGUUCACCUGGCCGCCAGUGUCGGGUAAGCCUAAGACAUCUGCUUGUCCAAAGUAGCCAUGAACGGAGAAGACAACGACAUUGUAUAUGACCGGAAGCCUACUGAAAAAUGCUUCCAUGUUUGCAGGAUCAGGAUAAAGAAGAUGAGGUCAUUACUUCUGCUCAAAAUUCUGGUAUGGAGUUUCCUUUGGCAUAGCAGAGACGAAAACUUCUGCGAUUACCAAUGCUUCUUGAAGCUUCAUAACAGUAUCAAUAUUCUCAUUGAUCAUAAGUUUCUGCAAAAGGGAUUUCCAAAAAAGUUAUGGAUCUAAUAAGCAACUUUUCAAUCUGCAGGUGGUGACCUUCAAACUCCCCUACCUCUCCGUUUCGUUCAAGAGUUAACAGGUAAUCAACCAAAGGCUUCGCGCUCUCAGGCUUCCCACCAAGCACCGAGGUCAUGAAUUUAGAGACGUACCCGAGCCCAUUCCCAAUCGAAGACGACAGAGUCAGUUUUGGAGUGCCAAUAUCAAACACUCCAAAAUCUAUCUCUAGAGAAUUUUCAUCACUUGCCCUGCAUAAAAAAAAAGAACAUUAUUUGUCCAAAAUCUGAGAAAAAUCCUCUACAAAUAUCAGAAAGGCUGUCACCUUCCACCUUCACAUAGUCCCAAAUACCAGGAUUAUGCCUUACUGCAAACGCAACGUAUGGUGGCACGACUGCUGCUUCCUGCAUAUCAUUAUCGAAGGCUGAAUACCAAGUAGUUGCUAGCAGAGUUCGUUAUGCUAAAGCUCGAGUAUAUGUGGGCCCGGGGGGCCCUACCUGCGUCGAGUUCAAGAUAUCACCAAGUGUACCCUCCAUGACCUGGGAUCUUUCAACCUUAUCCUCAAUGGUCUGCUCAAUCUCCUCCUGCAAAUGCUGGAGCUUCAUCAGCCUUCUUCCCUUUUCGGUAAACCUUCAAAUAUUUUCAAAGAAAGCCAUGUGAGAAAACAAGGUCACAAAUCCUAGCAACACAAGAAGACAACCAACCAGUACCUAGUAAAACAUCUCUUCAUAUGGUACCGGCUCUGCCUCAACGCCUCGGGCAUAGUAUCCACCACAGCAGCUGAAGCCAUCGCACUCGAUCAAAGGCUGGAAAGCUGUCUUUGCAAGAAGGGGAUUUUGUGGGGCUGUCUGUUUUUUGGACAAAGAUUGUGGGAUUGUUUAUAUAGGAGAAGAAAAUGGCAUGUGUUUGGAGAUGCAUGUGGGAAUAAUUUACAAGGCUGCUGCAUAGCUAAUGGAAGCAAGAGAAAAGAACAUUCUUUGAGCUGAUUGUGGGGAAGACAAACUUGUCUUCAAGAAAAGAAUUCACUUUUUCAAACAGGUGAAUUUUUUUUUUUUCACAGGAGCUUGCCUUUUUUAAUUGUUCUACCAAUUUAAAAAGUGGAGGGAAAGUAUUUUUCUUUUAGUGUGAUGGAAACAUAUUCUUUUCUUUAAGAAGUUCACAGCUCACUUGCUCAAAACAUGUAAGGCUAAGUAGUGAUUUGGUGGAGUGGCCACCUCAUGAUUGAAACGUUUAUGAGUUUGAAUCAUAUAUAAAAAUUCGGAAAAAAUCAAUUUUUUU
Long non-coding RNA from Salvia miltiorrhiza (redroot sage), 2462 nucleotides. RefSeq lists it as uncharacterized. The transcript has 4 exons. The record is from RefSeq and is a predicted model, not a curated record. NCBI's taxonomy places the organism in Eukaryota, Viridiplantae, Streptophyta, Magnoliopsida, Lamiales, Lamiaceae.